Molecule: RNA transcript, 1861 nt
Organism: Lathyrus oleraceus (garden pea)
Lineage: Eukaryota; Viridiplantae; Streptophyta; Magnoliopsida; Fabales; Fabaceae
Exons: 2
Source: RefSeq, a predicted model, not a curated record
GUUGUUGAUGAUGAUGAUGUUUAAUUUCUAAACCCUAAACAUUUAUUUGUUGUUGUUGGAGAUAAUGUUAAUGAAGUUAUUUUAUUUGUUUUGUUGAGAUAUGUUGUGAAUACGUUGUUGUUUUUGUUGAUUUUUAGUGCCUAAAUCCUAAAGGUUCAUUUGUUGAUAUAUGUUGUAAUUAUGUUGGUAUUGUUGUUGUUGAUGUUUAGUGAUAUGUUUAUUGUUGUUGUUCGUUUUGAGUAAAAUGAUGGUUUUGUGUUAUUUAGAUAUGAAGAUUUUUUAGUUAUGUUGUUGCAUGAAUGAUUGAGGAUAAUGCUGUUUUUGAUGGUGGUGUUGUUGUUUUUAAGAUUUGUUUAAUGUUAUGAUGUUGUUUUGCACAUAGAUGGACUAUUCAUCUAGUGAUGAAACUCAGGAAAAUGAAUGUUAUACUAUAGAGGGAAAAAGGAAAAGAAAAUCUAUAGGUGCUUCAAUGAUGGCUAGAUUAACAAAAGUCCACAACAAUGACGGGAAAUUAACGACCGAGUUUAAUGAUAAAACUUCGACUUGUUAUGGUAUGAAUUCUUCCCUUUUUAGGAGUUAUGUUGUGUUUCUUGGACGUGGCAAAAUGAAUAUUUUGAUAGACGAUUUGACCCAAGUAUCAGUAGAUUUGAAAGAAAGCAUAUGGACAAACAUUAAGGUAUUUUUUUACAUGAUUCGAUAGAAUUAUUUUUACAUAAUUUGAUAGUAUUUUUUAAAUUACCAAUGCAUAUUUAUUGAUGUAACUGUAGUCCGCUUUUGAGUUUACUGAUGAAAAUAAGUUAAAGAAAAAGUGAGUCUCUUAUGUUGGAGAGCGUUGGAGGGGCUUCAUGUUACAACUCACGCCUAAUUACAUUAUUAAGCCUAAGUUUGAUAUUGAGCAUCCAACGGUGAAAUAUAAUUAUAUUUAGAAGCAUAUUUGGGAGAAGCUUGUCAAGUCUCGUAUUUUUGUCGAUUUCUUAGUUAGUAGUAAUCUUAUCUUCUGAAUAACAAUUUUAGGCUUAUGCUUUUUAGAUAAAACCAUGUAAAUUAAUUUUUCACUAUAUUUAUAACAAGUUAAAGUGAAUCUAGAAAGAUAAAUAAGGAAAAUAAAUAAAUAUCCCUCAUAGAUUGUCUCAUGGGGGUUUCAGAAAAUUUGAGAAAGUAUUGCUUAAUGAAAAAUAAACAAUAAUUGGGAGAUGAGGACUCAUCAACUUGUAACCGCAUCCCAUCUCCACCAUCAUGAAAUAAGAAGUGUAAGAGGGACUUACAAACACCAACUGGAGAAUUCACUUCAGAUGUCUCACGUGCACUCGCUGAGAAGAUUGAUUUUUUGAUUGAUAUGGCCACUCAAGAUUCCUUUGUUCCAUAAGUAUGACAUGAUAUAUUAGUAGAAGCAAUCGGAAAAAAGGAGCACGGUGGAAGUGUACAUGAUGUUGGAGAAGGUAUCAUCUUGAGAUUAUUCUUUGGUGCCUCGAGAAAGAGUAAAGAAUUUCGAAAGAAAGCCAUGGACGAGCUCGUUGAUAAGAAGUUAGCACAUGAACGAGAAACCCAAAAGAAGGAGUUUGAAGAUAAAUUAGCACAUGAGCACGAAUCCCAAAAGAAAGAGUUAAAGGAAAUGUAUGAUAAGAAAUUGGAAGAUGCAUUAACACGUGAAUGGGAAAUGCACACAGAAUAUUGGAAGACCUAUACGUGGUAUGUGAAAAUAGUGUUUCGUGUGUUAAAUCUAUUAUGUGUUAUUGUAGCAUAAAUAAUGUUUUUACUUAUAUGCAUUGUGUGUUUUCGUUCUUUUUAUGAUGUAAAAACUGGCACUGAUGGGUGUAAUUGUCCAAUCAAGUACAAAAUGAAGAUAAUGAAUUAUCUGAAA